This 497-nucleotide ribosomal RNA is filed under the name uncultured bacterium. Its description in RNAcentral is "partial 16S ribosomal RNA". It matches the Rfam family "Bacterial small subunit ribosomal RNA", at positions 28 to 507 of the family's 1533-position model. The record is from RNAcentral.
GAUGAACGCUGGCGGCGUGCCUAAUACAUGCAAGCCGAGCGAACGGACGAGAAGCUUGCUUCUCUGAUGUUAGCGGCGGACGGGUGAGUAACACGUGGAUAACCUACCUAUAAGACUGGGAUAACUUCGGGAAACCGGAGCUAAUACCGGAUGAUAUUUUGAACCGCAUGGUUCAAAAGUGAAAGACGGUCUUGCUGUCACUUAUAGAUGGAUCCGCGCUGCAUUAGCUAGUUGGUAAGGUAACGGCUUACCAAGGCAACGAGGCAUAGCCGACCUGAGAGGGUGGUCGGCCACACUGGAACUGAGCCACGGUCCAGGCUCCUGCGGGAGGCAGCAGUAUGGAAUCUUCCGCAGUGGGCGAAAGCCUGACGGAGCAACGCCGCGUGAGUGAUGAAGGUCUUCGGAUCGUAAAACUCUGUUAUUAGGGAAGAACAUAUGUGUAAGUAACUGUGCACAUCUUGACGGUACCUAAUCAGAAAGCCACGGCUAACUACGUG